CCCUUAGAUGCUCUGGGCCGCACGCGCGCUACACUGGUCGAUGCAACGAGUUUCUUUCCUUGGCCGACAGGCCUGGGCAAUCUUUGAACAUCGAUCGUGAUCGGGAUAGAUUCUUGUAAUUUUUGAUCUUAAACGAGGAAUUCCUAGUAAACGCAAGUCAUCAGCUUGCAUUGAUUACGUCCCUGCCCUUUGUACACACCGCCCGUCGCACCUACCGAUUGAAUGGUCCGGUGAAAUCUCCGGACUGGUGUGAGUCGGAGCAAUCUGACAAACACCGGAAAGUUGAUUAAACCUUACCAUUUAGAGGAAGGUGAAGUCGUAACA
RNAcentral lists this ribosomal RNA (324 nucleotides) under uncultured eukaryote. RNAcentral's name for it is "partial 18S ribosomal RNA". It matches the Rfam family "Eukaryotic small subunit ribosomal RNA", at positions 1470 to 1796 of the family's 1831-position model. The record is from RNAcentral.